Molecule: ribosomal RNA, 495 nt
Filed under: uncultured bacterium
Lineage: Bacteria
Description: partial 16S ribosomal RNA
Rfam family: Bacterial small subunit ribosomal RNA
Source: RNAcentral
GAUGAACGCUGGCGGCGUGCCUAAUACAUGCAAGUCGAGCGAACAGACGAGGAGCUUGCUCCUCUGACGUUAGCGGCGGACGGGUGAGUAACACGUGGAUAACCUACCUAUAAGACUGGGAUAACUUCGGGAAACCGGAGCUAAUACCGGAUAAUAUAUUGAACCGCAUGGUUCAAUAGUGAAAGACGGUUUUGCUGUCACUUAUAGAUGGAUCCGCGCCGCAUUAGCUAGUUGGUAAGGUAACGGCUUACCAAGGCGACGAUGCGUAGCCGACCUGAGAGGGUGAUGGCCCACGCGGGCACUGAGACGCGGUCGAGACUCCGAGGGGAGACAGCAGGAGGGAAUCUCCCGCAAUGGGGGAAAGCCUGACGGAGACACGCCGCGUGAGAGAUGAAGGUGUUCGGAUCGUAAAACUAUGUUAUGAGGGAAAAACAAAUGUGUAAGUAACUAUGCAAGUCUUGACGGUACCAAAUCAGAAAGCCAGGGCUAACGACG